AGAUUCUUGCACAACACAGUUUGACCUCCAAAACUGUGUCUCAGAUUUUUCCUAUUGUAUUUCAUUCUCUCAUAAAUCUAAAAAUCAAGUUUGCAACAUCAAUUCAUAAGAGACCACUAAAUUCAAUUGGGUAUAAAAUUUGUUCUAUUGAUGUUUUGGGAAAUCUGAGACACAGUUUUGGAGGUCAAGCUGUGUUGUACAAGAAUCU
RNAcentral lists this small RNA (208 nucleotides) under Mytilus galloprovincialis (Mediterranean mussel). The record is from RNAcentral. Lineage: Eukaryota; Metazoa; Mollusca; Bivalvia; Mytilida; Mytilidae.